This 466-nucleotide ribosomal RNA is filed under the name uncultured bacterium. RNAcentral's name for it is "partial 16S ribosomal RNA". It matches the Rfam family "Bacterial small subunit ribosomal RNA", at positions 28 to 507 of the family's 1533-position model. The record is from RNAcentral.
GACGAACGCUGGCGGCGUGCUUAACACAUGCAAGUCGAACGGAAAGGCCCUGCUUGCAGGGUACUCGAGUGGCGCACGGGUGUGUAUAACGUGUGUGUACUGCCCUGCCCUUCGGGAUAAGCCUGGGGAACUGGGUUUAUUACAGGAUAGGUGCCCUUUUCUUCGUGUUGGUUGGAGUGUUUUUUUCGGUGUGGGAUGAGGUCGCGGGCUCUCCGCAUGUUGGUGGUGUAAUGGCCUACCACGGCGGCGGCGGGUACGCGUGACGGGAGGGUGGACGGCCACAUUGGGGCUGAGAGACGGCCCAGACGCCGACGGGGGGCAGCAGGGGGGAAGAGUGCAAAAUGGGUGCAAGCAUGAUGCAGCGACGCCGCGUGGGGGAUGACGGCCUUCGUGUUGUAAACACCGUUCGCUAGGGACGAAGCUUUUUGUGACGGUACCUAGAUAAGAAGCACCGGCUAACUACGUG